Molecule: ribosomal RNA, 135 nt
Filed under: uncultured eukaryote
Lineage: Eukaryota
Description: partial 18S ribosomal RNA
Rfam family: Eukaryotic small subunit ribosomal RNA
Source: RNAcentral
UGGUGGAGCGAUUUGUCUGGUUAAUUCCGAUAACGAACGAGACUCUAGCCUACUAAAUAGUGCGUGGAUCUUCAAGUCCUCGCUACUUCUUAGAGGGACAGACGGCGUCUAGCCGCACGAAAUUGAGCAAUAACA